UGGGGAAUAUUGGACAAUGGGCGCAAGCCUGAUCCAGCAAUGCCGCGUGUGUGAAGAAGGCCUUCGGGUUGUAAAGCACUUUUAUCAGGAGCGAAAUACUACCGGCUAAUAUCCGGUGGGGCUGACGGUACCUGAGGAAUAAGCACCGGCUAACUUCGUGCCAGCAGCCGCGGUAAUACGAAGGGUGCAAGCGUUAAUCGGAAUUACUGGGCGUAAAGCGUGCGUAGGCGGUUUGUUAAGUCUGCUGUGAAAUCCCCGGGCUCAACCUGGGAAUGGCAGUGGAUACUGGCAAACUAUGGUGUGUCAGAGGAUGGUGGAAUUCCCGGUGUAGCGGUGAAAUGCGUAGAGAUCGGGAGGAACAUCAGUGGCGAAGGCGGCCAUCUGGGACAACACUGACGCUGAGGCACGAAAGCGUGGGGAGCAAACA
RNAcentral lists this ribosomal RNA (427 nucleotides) under uncultured prokaryote. RNAcentral's name for it is "bacterial SSU rRNA". It matches the Rfam family "Bacterial small subunit ribosomal RNA", at positions 355 to 774 of the family's 1533-position model. The record is from RNAcentral.